GCGUAGGGUAUCUAGGUGGUUAAGUUAUACGCAAAUUAAAAACUGGGCAGGAACCCUUGCUGUUUGCUCGAUGACUUUUCUUGAAGCUUGUACAGGAAGAAGGUAUUUUAUUAGGAAUGAUAGAAUAUGUAGAUAAUAAAAAACCGACGUUGGCGAAGGCAUUCUUCCAGUUGAGUCUUGAGCUGAAGUACUAAGGCCGGGGAGCAAACUGGAUUAGACACCCAGGUAGUCCGGGUGUCAACGCUGAGUUUUCAAUGUGAGACGUGAAGACAUUAUUGUCUUUUGUGUUUUGUGUUUGAGCUAAGCGUUAAAUACUCCGCUGGGAAAUACGGCCGCAAGGUUGAAACUCAAAAGAAUUGAGGUGACUUGUACAAGG
Molecule: ribosomal RNA, 376 nt
Filed under: Hemitrichia calyculata
Lineage: Eukaryota; Evosea; Eumycetozoa; Trichiida; Trichiidae
Description: SSU rRNA
Rfam family: Bacterial small subunit ribosomal RNA
Source: RNAcentral